This 253-nucleotide ribosomal RNA is filed under the name uncultured bacterium. RNAcentral's name for it is "partial 16S ribosomal RNA". It matches the Rfam family "Bacterial small subunit ribosomal RNA", at positions 524 to 776 of the family's 1533-position model. The record is from RNAcentral.
UACGUAGGGUGCAAGCGUUGUCCGGAAUUAUUGGGCGUAAAGAGCUCGUAGGCGGUCUGUCGCGUCGGCUGUGAAAACCUGGGGCUCAACCCCGGGCCUGCAGCCGAUACGGGCAAGCUAGAAUUCGGUAGGGGAGACUGGAAUUCCUGGUGUAGCGGUGAAAUGCGCAGAUAUCAGGAGGAACACCGGUGGCGAAGGCGGGUCUCUGGGCAACAACUGACGCUGAGGAGCGAAAGCGUGGGGAGCGAACAGG